AUUGAACGCUGGCGGCAUGCCUUACACAUGCAAGUCGAACGGCAGCACGGGUGCUUGCACCUGGUGGCGAGUGGCGAACGGGUGAGUAAUACAUCGGAACAUGUCCUGUAGUGGGGGAUAGCCCGGCGAAAGCCGGAUUAAUACCGCAUACGAUCUACGGAUGAAAGCGGGGGACCUUCGGGCCUCGCGCUAUAGGGUUGGCCGAUGGCUGAUUAGCUAGUUGGUGGGGUAAAGGCCUACCAAGGCGACGAUCAGUAGCUGGUCUGAGAGGACGACAGGCCACACGAGAAGGGAGACACGGCCCAGGCGCCUACGAGAGGCAGCAGUGGGGAAUUGUGGACAAUGGUGGAAAGCCUUGUCCAGCAAGGCCGCGUGUGUGAAGAAGGCCUUCGGGUUGGGAAGCACGUUUGUCCGGAAAGAAAUGCUUGGCCCUAAUACGGUCGGGGGAUGACGGUACCGGAAGAAUAAGCACCGGCUAACUACGUG
This 486-nucleotide ribosomal RNA is filed under the name uncultured bacterium. Its description in RNAcentral is "partial 16S ribosomal RNA". It matches the Rfam family "Bacterial small subunit ribosomal RNA", at positions 29 to 507 of the family's 1533-position model. The record is from RNAcentral.